Molecule: ribosomal RNA, 545 nt
Filed under: uncultured bacterium
Lineage: Bacteria
Description: partial 16S ribosomal RNA
Rfam family: Bacterial small subunit ribosomal RNA
Source: RNAcentral
UGGGGAAUUUUGGACAAUGGGGGCAACCCUGAUCCAGCAAUGCCGCGUGUGUGAAGAAGGCCUUCGGGUUGUAAAGCACUUUUGUCCGGAAAGAAAACGCCGUGGUUAAUACCCGUGGCGGAUGACGGUACCGGAAGAAUAAGCACCGGCUAACUACGUGCCAGCAGCCGCGGUAAUACGUAGGGUGCAAGCGUUAAUCGGAAUUACUGGGCGUAAAGCGUGCGCAGGCGGUCCGCUAAGACAGAUGUGAAAUCCCCGGGCUUAACCUGGGAACUGCAUUUGUGACUGGCGGGCUAGAGUAUGGCAGAGGGGGGUAGAAUUCCACGUGUAGCAGUGAAAUGCGUAGAGAUGUGGAGGAAUACCGAUGGCGAAGGCAGCCCCCUGGGCCAAUACUGACGCUCAUGCACGAAAGCGUGGGGAGCAAACAGGAUUAGAUACCCUGGUAGUCCACGCCCUAAACGAUGUCAACUAGUUGUUGGGGAUUCAUUUCCUUAGUAACGUAGCUAACGCGUGAAGUUGACCGCCUGGGGAGUACGGUCGCAAGA